GAUGAACGCUGGCGGCGUGCCUAAUACACGCAAGUCGAGCGAAUGGAUUAAGAGCUUGCUCUUAUGAAGUUAGCGGCGGACGGGUGAGUAACACGUGAGUAACCUGCCCAUAAGACUGGGAUAACUCCGGGAAACCGGGGCUAAUACCGGAUAAUAUUUUGAACUGCAUGGUUCAAAAUUGAAAGGCGGCUUCGGCUGUCACUUAUGGAUGUACCCGCGUCGCAUUAGCUAGUUGGUGAGGUAACGGCUCACCAAGGCAACGAUGCGUAGCCGACCUGAGAGGGUGAUCGGCCACACUGGGACUGAGACACGGCCCAGACUCCUACGGGAGGCAGCAGUAGGGAAUCUUCCGCAAUGGACGAAAGUCUGACGGAGCAACGCCGCGUGAGUGAUGAAGGCUUUCGGGUCGUAAAACUCUGUUGUUAGGGAAGAACAAGUGCUAGUUGAAUAAGCUGGCACCUUGACGGUACCUAACCAGAAAGCCACGGCUAACUAUGUGCCAGCCGCCGCGGUAA
RNAcentral lists this ribosomal RNA (515 nucleotides) under uncultured bacterium. RNAcentral's name for it is "partial 16S ribosomal RNA". It matches the Rfam family "Bacterial small subunit ribosomal RNA", at positions 28 to 523 of the family's 1533-position model. The record is from RNAcentral.